RNAcentral lists this ribosomal RNA (497 nucleotides) under uncultured bacterium. RNAcentral's name for it is "partial 16S ribosomal RNA". It matches the Rfam family "Bacterial small subunit ribosomal RNA", at positions 28 to 507 of the family's 1533-position model. The record is from RNAcentral.
GACGAACGCUGGCGGCGUGCCUAAUACAUGCAAGUAGAACGCUGAAGAGAGGAGCUUGCUCUUCUUGGAUGAGUUGCGAACGGGUGAGUAACGCGUAGGUAACCUGCCUUGUAGCGGGGGAUAACUAUUGGAAACGAUAGCUAAUACCGCAUAACAAUGGAUGACACAUGUCAUUUAUUUGAAAGGGGCAAUUGCUCCACUACAAGAUGGACCUGCGUUGUAUUAGCUAGUAGGUGAGGUAAUGGCUCACCUAGGCGACGAUACAUAGCCGACCUGAGAGGGUGAUCGGCCACACUGGGACUGAGACACGGCCCAGACUCCUACGGGAGGCAGCAGUAGGGAAUCUUCGGCAAUGGGGGCAACCCUGAACGAGCAACGCCGCGUGAGUGAAGAAGGUUGUCGGAUCGUAAAGCUCUGUUGUAAGUCAAGAACGGGUGUGAGAGUGGAAAGUUCACACUGUGACGGUAGCUUAUCAGAAAGGGACGGCUAACUACGUG